Molecule: transfer RNA, 74 nt
Filed under: Camelus bactrianus (Bactrian camel)
Lineage: Eukaryota; Metazoa; Chordata; Mammalia; Artiodactyla; Camelidae
Also listed under: 2 other names
Rfam family: tRNA
About the family: Transfer RNA (tRNA) molecules are approximately 80 nucleotides in length. Their secondary structure includes four short double-helical elements and three loops (D, anti-codon, and T loops).
Source: Rfam by way of RNAcentral
GAGGGUAUAGCUCAAGUGGUAAGAGUGCGUGCUUGGCCUGCACGAGGUCCUGGGUUCAAUCCCCGCUACCUCCA